GCGCGUCCCCGAGUAUAUAGAUAUACUCGCCGGUUCCGAAAAAACAAAAGUUAAACCGAAAAAUAAUAUUUGCACAACAAACAGGCCUAAACGUCAACAACGUUCGAAAUUCGAACAUUAUUUAAACGCAACGCUAGUGAUGUGACGAUGUCAAUUGAUAUUAUCGAUGGAUUGGAAUAACGAUGAAAAUGAGCACGUUUUGGAGCGAGUUUCUGAAUGCGGCGGCGAAUCACCCGUUCCCGUUGCCCAUUGACUUGCUGUCGCCUUUCGAUCUGCAAACAAAUGAAGAGUUUUUCCCGAAUGUGCCGGCCGCGCCGGGCAUGCCCUGUGCUGGCGAAGACAGAAGCAUAUACAGGAGAGGCGCUCGAAGGUGGCGAAAGCUAUACCGCGUCAAUGGACACAUCUUCCAGGCUAAACGGUUUAAUAGACGCGCAUUCUGUGCCUUCUGCCAGGACCGCAUCUGGGGCCUCGGGCGGCAAGGCUUCAAGUGCAUCCAAUGCAAGCUGCUGGUGCAUAAGAAGUGCCACAAGCUCGUGCAGAAGCCAUGCUCCAAUGAACACGUGGAUCCUAUUGAAGUUAAGGAUGAUGCUAAUGGAGAAAGCACUUUGGGAAGAGCGUCGUCUGUUCGGUCUCGUGCGGAGGUCGAGCCCCCGUUGCCGGAGACGCCGCCUGCGCCCGCGCCGGCGCCGCCGCGGCCCGAUGAUCUUGAGCCGGGCUCCCAGAGACAGUACUCUCUUGAUGACUUCGAACUCAUCAGGGUGAUUGGACGAGGGUCUUAUGCUAAGGUGCUGAUGGUAGAACUGAAGCGCACAAAACGCGUGUACGCCAUGAAGGUGAUCAAGAAGGCUCUGGUAACGGACGACGAAGACAUAGACUGGGUGCAGACAGAGAAGCACGUAUUCGAGACGGCGUCCAACCAUCCCUUCCUCGUGGGGCUGCACUCUUGCUUCCAGACGCCCAGUCGCCUGUUCUUUGUCAUCGAGUUCGUUAGGGGAGGGGAUCUCAUGUUCCACAUGCAACGGCAGCGGCGUCUGCCGGAGGAGCACGCGCGGUUCUACGCGGCCGAGAUCUCGCUCGCGCUGCACUUCCUGCACGAGCGAGGCGUCAUCUACCGCGACCUCAAGCUCGACAACGUGCUGUUAGACCACGAGGGACAUAUUAAACUGACCGAUUAUGGCAUGUGCAAGGAGGGUGUCCGACCAGGCGACACCACCUCGACAUUCUGCGGCACCCCCAACUACAUAGCUCCUGAGAUCCUUCGCGGCGAGGAGUACGGCUUCUCCGUGGACUGGUGGGCGCUGGGGGUGCUGACAUACGAGAUGCUGGCAGGAAGAUCACCCUUCGAUAUUGCGCAGGCGGCUGAUAACCCUGAUCAGAACACUGAGGAUUAUCUCUUCCAGGUGAUCUUAGAGAAAACGAUCCGUAUCCCCCGGUCCCUGUCGGUGAAGGCGGCGUCGGUGCUGAAGGGCUUCCUCAACAAGAACCCGGCGGAGCGGCUCGGCUGCGGCGACAGCGGCUUCCUCGACAUCGUCAGCCAUCCCUUCUUCAAGAGCAUCGAGUGGGAGAUGCUGGAGCAGAAGCAGGUGGUGCCGCCGUUCAAGCCGCGGCUGGAGGGCGAGCGUGACCUGGCCAACUUCCCGCCCGAGUUCACCGACGAGCCCGUGCAUCUCACGCCCGACAACGACACGGUGAUCGCGGACAUCGACCAGUCGGAGUUCGAGGGCUUCGAGUACGUGAACCCGCUGCUGAUGUCGCUGGAGGACUGCGUGUGACGUCACGCCUGUCUGCUGCACCCCUACCAUGAGCCCGAUCAGGCAUACGGCUACGGUGCAGAGUCGUCGUCAUCGGACUACGACAGCGUUUGCUCGGAGCUGCCGCCGCGCAAGCCCACGCUGCUGCAGCACAUGUUCUGUCUGCCGCUCAACUGACGACGCGACAAGCACGACAAGCACGACAAGCACGACACACGCGACAAACACGACAGGUACACACAGCCGCAGUAAUGUACUUGUCGCAUGUAAAAAACUUUGAUAGGUGCAACCAGCAUCAAUAAUUUGACACAUUUUUAACUUAGAUAGUUGACUAUUCUCAACUACAGUAAUGUAUGUAUUUGUCGCAAUUUUUUACUUCAUCAUCAUUAUCUGCCCUAAUCCCCAUUAUAUUUCGGGCAGGUGCAGCUGUGUUUUUCAAAUAAUACUACAAUACAAUUUUUUGGAUAUUGAACACAGUUAAUUCUCAUCUUUGCAAUGUUGUGUUGUACAGUUUUUAACGAAAAGCAGGCCCAAGUUCACCAAUAACAAACGUCAGCUUUCUUUUGAACAACUGUUUACUUGUUGUAUCAAAAAACUGUGUUUAUAUUGUCGAUGUACCUGGGCCUAAAUGACGGAAAUUGGCAACAUGUGCAAACCGUCAAGAAGCUAAUUUCAGUAUAGCACAGUUAUUUGUAAAACAGACCUCAACAUAGUCGGAAAGAGGCUCUAAGGAUCAUGAUUUGUAAAAACUGUAACAUGAAUUUUAACUAAAGUGUGUCUAUAUUAUUGUGGUUGACUGUACCAGCUUAGCGAUAAGUGAAGCCAUUGGUGAUAGGAUCUUGUUUUACUAAUAAUUAACUACUUCUAUAGUGUCGGCCUUCUAAAUUAGGUGACGUUUGUAAAGAUAUGACGCCUCGAAUUUAAGGCUUAUUAAAGUACCGUCAGAAAUUAAGAACAAAAAUUAAAUUUAAAAAUGGCUGUCAUAAAUUUUUGAUAUGGCAACAAAAUAUUGUAAUGUUGCCAUAAUCAAAAAUUUUACAGUAGGUUUUUUAAUUUGAUUUUGUGUGUGUAUUUUUGGCGGUACUUAAUUCUAUUGUUAAGAUUAAAAUUGUAAAUAAAAUAUACUUAUGUAUAAAAUUAAUAAAUAAAAUACCGCAUGAAAAGUUGCAUGCGUUUAGAGAUUCAAGGAUCAAGAUUGCUUGAAGUAUAAUGUUUGAUGGAUGAUCCUUGUGGCAUUACUAAAUUAGAAUAUAACAUUAGUAUAUAAAAUUGUAUUUAUAUAUACUACGACGCACAUAACGUGCCAAUUAUGAAAGCACAAGUAUUUAGGUGUCAAUGGCUUCACAAAUUCUCGCUAAAUUGUCAAAGAAAUGUAUAAAAUAUGUCGGUACUGCUUGUUGGCACAUUAAAAAUGUAAUUACAUAUGUUAAAACAGUGAUUUUAAGUCAUUGUUAUUAAGCUGUAUUGAACCACCGGCGAAAUUAAUAACAUUAUUUUUUAUUUUUUAACACGAACCUGUAGUAAUUUUGAAAAUAAUUCCGUAAAGUUUUACGUACAGAAUUUUAUGAGAAAAAUGAGUAUUGGUAAAGUAUUAUUUAAGUACACACACGAACUAAAUAUUCCGAAAAAAAAAACAAGAUGUAUUAAUUAUGACACAUUAUUUUAUCAUCCUAAGUAUUAUUAUUAACAUUCCACCAUAAAUCACUUAACAAUAUUAAAAAAAAAAAAACCACAUAGAUCUGAAUUUAUUUAUUGCUUAAAGGAAUUGAUGUCGACACAAUGCCACCAUGGAAGGAAUUUGUAAUAUUCUUCUACACAUUAAGUUACUUUAAAAGGCUAAAAGUGCUUGUAAAAUGUAGCCAAUAUUGGUGCUCGGUAAACCGCGGGUGUUUUGAACAACGCUUGAAACUCGGUCGGGAGCAGCGAACACACUUUCCUAUUAAUAAAAACUUAGCUCACUCUAAACCCCCACCUCGAGGGGCAUACGCUUCUGUACAUAAAUUAAAUAAACAAAAAUUCAUCUAUGUAUAAUAACUAUACGAGGAAAUAUAAUAAGACUUAAUAUUUUUGAAAUUAUUGUAGUAGUCUAUCUAAUUACCUUUCUGAGAGGAAGAUGACGGUUCUACGACUCUGUCGUACACCGUCACGGUUUCUAUCAAAUCAUUGUUUUUUGAGCAAUAAAAUAUAUAGUAGUAUUAUUGUAUUGUAUUGUAAUUAUGCGAGACAGGUGAACUGCUCAAUCAAAGCACGUAAGGAAUUAAAAGUAGUUGAAAAAUUUUGAUGGCCGACCGGUCUCACCGAUACUUAUAGCCCUUAUCAAACAUUAGUGUAUACCCUAGUUAUCUAGGCAUAAGCUAGAUUCGUAGCUAUGAUAUGCGAGGAAUGGCGCGUGACAUGAAAAAAUACAUAAGCUAUCAAGCUUUUGGAACUUAAUUUUGAACCCUCAAUUGUACAGCUGUCGUAUGUUGUUGGUGUUAAAAAAUGUUGAUUUAAAAAGUCAGUCUUUUUGUUGAAUUUAUAAAAACUUGUAAAUAAAACAGAACAUGCUGCGCGCCAUUGUACCGCUAUUAUAAUACAAUUAAUGGCACAGAAAGUGACCCAUCUCUCGACGUAUUAUUUAACCAGAAUUCUUCAAUUGUUCCUUAAGCUGGUAGCUUUCCGUGCCACUAAGUGUAUGAUAUAUUCCAUUCCCUAUUGUAGAUUCUGUUGUCCUUCAUAGCUAAUCACCACUCGUUUAGGUAGCCAACGAAUUUUAUAAUAAAAAAAAACAUAUAAUAUUGAGCACUGAGACAAAUUUAAAAUUGUGUACAUUAUAAACAAAUUAAUAUGAAAAAAAAACUCGUAAAAUACAUCGGUUAUUAUAUAAUAUAACAAAUUAUUGUUAAUGUAGAAGAAAAGACUUAUUAUAUAAAGAUUAUCGAUCGUAAUGUGUGGUUCGCGUGGCAGAGAGCUCAAGUCCACAAACUAUUCUAAAUAGUGCGUAGUAAGUACCUAUCUAUUAGACAUUUUGCACCGAUAUUAUAUUAUACAUAGUUGUGACGCGGUGUCGCGCUACAUGUGUUGUCGCCCAUAUUCCUGUACUACGUGUGCGUUGCAAGUCAGAUGAUGUCCGUGCUGUUGCGUUGUUGUCGCGGCGCCUCGCCGGCUGCCUGCAUAGGUUUCUUUGUAUAAUUUAUAUCGUUAAGUAUUUAAUUAUUGGUAAGCGACAGUAUUGUGGUACUAUUAACGCUUUAGGUGUAAUUAGUUAACAUUCCAUGUAUCUGGGGCUACCCUGGCAUCACAGCGAAUACGUUUGCAUUGUUACAAUAUGUUCUCAUGUUUUGUCAUUUUAAAUAAUAUUAUCGAUUAUAACGACACGUUGUAUUGUCAAACGUUAAGUUUGAAUUCUAUUAUGAUAAAUGUUUUAUUACCAAAAAUUUUGUAAUGUGUAUAAAAUCUUACUAACUGCAUGACAAGUGACAUUUUAACAAUUAUAAUUAGUUAUAAGAGGAAUUGUUAAACAGUUACAUUUCGCAACUUAGAACAAAACUAUGUAUCUUAGUUUUAAUUAUUUUUAGUUGAUCGCAUGUAAUAUUCCCCGUUUGCGGUAAGGAAUCAUAAAACAUAGGUUUUUACAUAAAGUAUGUUGAUUUAUUGUAUUUAAUUUCGGCCGUAUUUACUUGUAUUGUGAAACACCAAUAAAUGUAUGUUACUUAAAGAUUUCAUUGUGAAGUACUUGGUGCGUGAUUGAGACAUACUGUCAAAUUAGACUGGAGAAAUUGGGAUACUGUAACUAUUCUAUGCUUAACUGAAAAUAAAGAAGAUUAAUCAGAA
Molecule: unclassified non-coding RNA, 5564 nt
Filed under: Helicoverpa zea (corn earworm)
Lineage: Eukaryota; Metazoa; Arthropoda; Insecta; Lepidoptera; Noctuidae
Description: atypical protein kinase C, transcript variant X6
Source: RNAcentral